Molecule: transfer RNA, 109 nt
Filed under: Aeromonas caviae
Lineage: Bacteria; Pseudomonadati; Pseudomonadota; Gammaproteobacteria; Aeromonadales; Aeromonadaceae
Description: tRNA-OTHER
Source: RNAcentral
GCCUAAGUGACUGUAUUUAUUUAACUAUUUGAUUUUAAAGGCUGGGUGCAGGCAUUUAAAAUCCCUCGACGUUCACGUCGUGCCGGUUCGAUUCCGGCCUCGGGCACCA